This 1685-nucleotide ribosomal RNA is filed under the name Escherichia coli. Its description in RNAcentral is "partial 23S ribosomal RNA". It matches the Rfam family "Bacterial large subunit ribosomal RNA", at positions 1273 to 2925 of the family's 2925-position model. The record is from RNAcentral. Lineage: Bacteria; Pseudomonadati; Pseudomonadota; Gammaproteobacteria; Enterobacterales; Enterobacteriaceae.
CUGGAGGUAUCAGAAGUGCGAAUGCUGACAUAAGUAACGAUAAAGCGGGUGAAAAGCCCGCUCGCCGGAAGACCAAGGGUUCCUGUCCAACGUUAAUCGGGGCAGGGUGAGUCGACCCCUAAGGCGAGGCCGAAAGGCGUAGUCGAUGGGAAACAGGUUAAUAUUCCUGUACUUGGUGUUACUGCGAAGGGGGGACGGAGAAGGCUAUGUUGGCCGGGCGACGGUUGUCCCGGUUUAAGCGUGUAGGCUGGUUUUCCAGGCAAAUCCGGAAAAUCAAGGCUGAGGCGUGAUGACGAGGCACUACGGUGCUGAAGCAACAAAUGCCCUGCUUCCAGGAAAAGCCUCUAAGCAUCAGGUAACAUCAAAUCGUACCCCAAACCGACACAGGUGGUCAGGUAGAGAAUACCAAGGCGCUUGAGAGAACUCGGGUGAAGGAACUAGGCAAAAUGGUGCCGUAACUUCGGGAGAAGGCACGCUGAUAUGUAGGUGAAGUCCCUCGCGGAUGGAGCUGAAAUCAGUCGAAGAUACCAGCUGGCUGCAACUGUUUAUUAAAAACACAGCACUGUGCAAACACGAAAGUGGACGUAUACGGUGUGACGCCUGCCCGGUGCCGGAAGGUUAAUUGAUGGGGUCAGCGCAAGCGAAGCUCUUGAUCGAAGCCCCGGUAAACGGCGGCCGUAACUAUAACGGUCCUAAGGUAGCGAAAUUCCUUGUCGGGUAAGUUCCGACCUGCACGAAUGGCGUAAUGAUGGCCAGGCUGUCUCCACCCGAGACUCAGUGAAAUUGAACUCGCUGUGAAGAUGCAGUGUACCCGCGGCAAGACGGAAAGACCCCGUGAACCUUUACUAUAGCUUGACACUGAACAUUGAGCCUUGAUGUGUAGGAUAGGUGGGAGGCUUUGAAGUGUGGACGCCAGUCUGCAUGGAGCCGACCUUGAAAUACCACCCUUUAAUGUUUGAUGUUCUAACGUGGACCCGUGAUCCGGGUUGCGGACAGUGUCUGGUGGGUAGUUUGACUGGGGCGGUCUCCUCCUAAAGAGUAACGGAGGAGCACGAAGGUUGGCUAAUCCUGGUCGGACAUCAGGAGGUUAGUGCAAUGGCAUAAGCCAGCUUGACUGCGAGCGUGACGGCGCGAGCAGGUGCGAAAGCAGGUCAUAGUGAUCCGGUGGUUCUGAAUGGAAGGGCCAUCGCUCAACGGAUAAAAGGUACUCCGGGGAUAACAGGCUGAUACCGCCCAAGAGUUCAUAUCGACGGCGGUGUUUGGCACCUCGAUGUCGGCUCAUCACAUCCUGGGGCUGAAGUAGGUCCCAAGGGUAUGGCUGUUCGCCAUUUAAAGUGGUACGCGAGCUGGGUUUAGAACGUCGUGAGACAGUUCGGUCCCUAUCUGCCGUGGGCGCUGGAGAACUGAGGGGGGCUGCUCCUAGUACGAGAGGACCGGAGUGGACGCAUCACUGGUGUUCGGGUUGUCAUGCCAAUGGCACUGCCCGGUAGCUAAAUGCGGAAGAGAUAAGUGCUGAAAGCAUCUAAGCACGAAACUUGCCCCGAGAUGAGUUCUCCCUGACUCCUUGAGAGUCCUGAAGGAACGUUGAAGACGACGACGUUGAUAGGCCGGGUGUGUAAGCGCAGCGAUGCGUUGAGCUAACCGGUACUAAUGAACCGUGAGGCUUAACCUUACAACGCCGAAGG